This 216-nucleotide long non-coding RNA is filed under the name Mytilus galloprovincialis (Mediterranean mussel). Lineage: Eukaryota; Metazoa; Mollusca; Bivalvia; Mytilida; Mytilidae. The record is from RNAcentral.
CCUCUUUAACUUUGCUUGUGGUUGUAUUAAACAUGUACGAUAGUGAUUUCCGAUCUUGACACGGUUUGUAGGCUGUUAACAAACAGGAGACUAUUGUCACUGUUGAUGUGACAAAGACGUCUACUUUUUACUCUCUUUAUUGCGUUGUUUUUUCUCCCUUUUACUCGUCCAACUUACAAAUAUUUCAUCAUAUUUUUUUUAUUUUGCAUGGCACAC